RNAcentral lists this ribosomal RNA (443 nucleotides) under uncultured bacterium. RNAcentral's name for it is "partial 16S ribosomal RNA". It matches the Rfam family "Bacterial small subunit ribosomal RNA", at positions 338 to 795 of the family's 1533-position model. The record is from RNAcentral.
CCUACGGGGGGCAGCAGUGGGGAAUAUUGGGCAAUGGGCGCAAGCCUGACCCAGCAACGCCGCGUGAAGGAAGAAGGCUUUCGGGUUGUAAACUUCUUUUCUCAGGGACGAAGCAAGUGACGGUACCUGAGGAAUAAGCCACGGCUAACUACGUGCCAGCAGCCGCGGUAAGACGUAGGUGGCAAGCGUUAUCCGGAUUUACUGGGUGUAAAGGGCGUGUAGGCAGGACUGCAAGUCAGAUGUGAAAACCAGGGGCUCAACCUGAGGCUUGCAGUUGAAACUGUAGUCCUUGAGUACGGGAGAGGUAGACGGAAUUCCUAGUGUAGCGGUGAAAUGCGUAGAUAUUAGGAGGAACACCAGUGGCGAAGGCAGUCUGCUGGACAGCAACUGACGCUGAGGCGCGAAAGCGUGGGGAGCAAACAGGAUUAGAUACCCGGGUAGUC